UUCUAAUGGUGCAUCUCGGAAAUACUGCGAUAUCAUAUACUGUAAUGAUCUUUUUUAUGCAUUAACUUUGGAUAAUUCCAUUGAAGUCUGGGAUUUUCAUGCUUCUUUGCCAAUAAAGAAUAGGGAAAUCCACCCUUCAGUCCCAAGAAAAAUAAUGGAAGCUACAGAGUGUUUGAGAAGUCCACAUUGUUGCCAAAGUCACUUGGUGGAAUCAUCUGGCGAUCUUUUGCUGGUGUUAAGGUAUUUGGGGAAAGAAGGCAAACUUUGGGUUUGCCCAUAUCGUACACAGAACUUUCAUGUUUACAGGCUGGAUUCCAAUGAUCCGAAUUGGGUGGAAGUAGACAAUUUGAAGAAUGAGGUACUGUUUCUGGCCGGUAACCACUCAAUGUCACUCUCAGCUCAGGAUUUUUCAGGAUUUGAAAAGAAUUCUAUUUACUUCACAGGCGACAUUUGGAACCAGAUGAA
RNAcentral lists this unclassified non-coding RNA (465 nucleotides) under Hevea brasiliensis (rubber tree). The record is from RNAcentral. Lineage: Eukaryota; Viridiplantae; Streptophyta; Magnoliopsida; Malpighiales; Euphorbiaceae.